GCAAGUCGAACGGUGAAGCCCAGCUUGCUGGGUGGAUCAGUGGCGAACGGGUGAGUAACACGUGAGCAACCUGCCCUCCACUUCGGGAUAAGCCUUGGAAACGGGGUCUAAUACCGGAUAUGAGCAUCUGCCGCAUGGUGGGUGUUGGAAAGUUUUUCGGUGGGGGAUGGGCUCGCGGCCUAUCAGCUUGUUGGUGGGGUGAUGGCCUACCAAGGCGUCGACGGGUAGCCGGCCUGAGAGGGCGACCGGCCACACUGGGACUGAGACACGGCCCAGACUCCUACGGGAGGCAGCAGUGGGGAAUAUUGCACAAUGGGCGAAAGCCUGAUGCAGCGACGCCGCGUGAGGGAUGACGGCCUUCGGGUUGUAAACCUCUUUCAGCAGGGAAGAAGGCCUUCGGGUGGACGGUACCUGCAGAAGAAGCGCCGGCUAACUACGUGCCAGCAGCCGCGGUAAUACGUAGGGCGCAAGCGUUGUCCGGAAUUAU
This 487-nucleotide ribosomal RNA is filed under the name Isoptericola halotolerans. Its description in RNAcentral is "bacterial SSU rRNA". It matches the Rfam family "Bacterial small subunit ribosomal RNA", at positions 57 to 554 of the family's 1533-position model. The record is from RNAcentral. Lineage: Bacteria; Bacillati; Actinomycetota; Actinomycetes; Micrococcales; Promicromonosporaceae.